AAAAACAGAAAUAGACAGUCCCGCCUCACUGCAUUUUAUUGGAGUUUUCGAUAAAGUAAAGAGAGAAGAAAACGUCAAAUCUCUUCACUCUCCCUAUCCUAGACACUUGACUUGAGAGCGCUUCAUUGAGGAAAAAGUCGAAAGCGAAAGGUGCGUAGGAUAAGCCGCGUGAUGGGUGUAGUUUAGGGAGAUUCUUGCCUCUCUGCUAAUUUCUGGGCAAUGGCGGAAAUACUUUGAACUCUAAUGGGUGCACCCCUAUUUUAGCUCUUUUUUCACUUGAGUGUAGCUUGUUUUCUUGGUGGAUUGUGUUUUUUGGCGAACAAUGGCAACUGCUGCGCAUUUUAGCCGUUGUCAGAGGAGGAGAGGAGCAGCUGGAGUAACUUUGUUCUUGCUUUAUCUCUGGGGUUCUCUAAUCUCGCUAUCUUCCGCCGCUAGGCUAUCAUUGUUGAGAUAUUGGCUAUGAUGAUACACUAUUCUGAGCCUAAUAAUUGGUCAUUUCCUUAA
Molecule: long non-coding RNA, 504 nt
Filed under: Nicotiana benthamiana
Lineage: Eukaryota; Viridiplantae; Streptophyta; Magnoliopsida; Solanales; Solanaceae
Description: long non-coding RNA (NBEN_LNC013449)
Source: RNAcentral